Haliotis rubra (blacklip abalone) is the source of this 130-nucleotide long non-coding RNA. RefSeq lists it as uncharacterized. NCBI's taxonomy places the organism in Eukaryota, Metazoa, Mollusca, Gastropoda, Lepetellida, Haliotidae. The record is from RefSeq and is a predicted model, not a curated record. The transcript has 4 exons.
AGAGGUCGUUUAUGUUGCGAACAAUCGACCGUGGCAGCCCACUCCUCAAUGGACAGACCCCAUUCAAGGACACAACAUGGCCCGUGGAAGGCAGUGUUACAGAUGCGGUGGUGAGUAUGAUUUUUCUCAU